Ruditapes philippinarum (Manila clam) is the source of this 1403-nucleotide long non-coding RNA. RefSeq lists it as uncharacterized. NCBI's taxonomy places the organism in Eukaryota, Metazoa, Mollusca, Bivalvia, Venerida, Veneridae. The record is from RefSeq and is a predicted model, not a curated record. The transcript is spliced from 4 exons.
AUGAGUUUCGUUGUCGUUGUUGUUAUAACUCUUAUUCAUAGUGUUCAGAUGGCCAGAUAGCUUUUUUACUGUGAAAAAGGACAGACUUGCUGUGGUGAGUUGAUUUGUUGUCGUGCCGGGUACAUCUGUAGAAAAGGGGACUGCGUCGUCGAUGAUUCGACGACAAGAACAACGCAGCCAGCAAGAAGAAGGUGGUCACAUAGAAUAUCUACUGUCAAACCUAAAACAUAUUCAACACGAAGACCAAUAACAUUUUUCCCAAGACUCGCAACAAACAGCUACACGUUUACUGUACCUAAAUACAGCUACAGUUCCUCUACUAGUAGGUACAGAUACCGCUUUCCAAUCAUCGGAGGUACUAUAGUAAUUGUAAGCCUCAUAAGUGUUCUUAUGCGUGUUUGCUGCAAAAAAUUUAAAGAUCAAAUAAGAAAUGGGCGUAUAAUUACAACCCCGACCAAUACAUACUUAUAUGCACCAACUCAUGGAAACCCUGCUACAAAUGCGGCAUCCAGUAUUUAAACAUCAGAAUAUUUCGGUUUCUAUCAACGAGUUAUGUUCUUCAAGCUACAGAGAAUUUUUUAACAUCAUCAUUUUAUAUACUCGUAGAUAAUAUAUUACAUAUAUGAGCCGCGUCACGACAAAACCAACAUACUGCGUUUGCGACCAGCAUGGAUCCAGACCAGCCUGCGCAUCCGCGCAGUCUGAUCAGGAUCAAUGCUGUUCGCUUACAAACUCUAUUACAAGUAGAGAAACUGAUAGCGAACAGCAUGGAUCCUGAUCAGACUGCGCGGAUGCGCAGGCUGGUCUGGAUUCAUGCUGGUCGCAAACGCAUUACGUUGGUUUUGUUAUGGCGCGGCUCAUAUAAUUUAUAUACAUUUGUUUGAAGAUAAGUUUUCGUUAUUGAUAUACUAGUAAUUGUGGACAAGAUUACGGCUUUGAUUUGAUACAAGAAUGUAAACCUGUGUUUACUUGAUAAAAAGAUGGACUUUGCUUUUUUUUGUAAAAUACCUGAAAUAUUUUUCUAGUUCUUGUCAUUUUAAGUGUAUUUAACAUUUAACGUGUGUAUGGAAAUAUGUCGUCAAAACAUACAGAAUUUUCUUACUCACUUAGAACGUUGGUAGAUCGUGGACGAUAAAAUAGUAAAUUCUGUAAUUUUUCUUCAUAAUACAUCUCCUGGAUUGUCAGACUAUAUAUAUGUUUCUGAUUUUUGAAUAUUUUUUUUUACUCUUACCUUUCACUCAUCUACGGGCACGUUACUUUGAAGUUGUAUGCUACAAUCCAAUACACAGGGAAAAUCAAUGAUAGAAUUUAUUUCAACUUUGCAUGAUGACAUACACAUUUUAAGCGAAUCAUAAAGGGACGUCGAACUCGUUCUUGAGUUAUCUGACCUUGAAUUUGAAAAA